CUACGGGAUGCAGCAGUGGGGAAUAUUGGACAAUGGGGGAAACCCUGAUCCAGCAAUGCCGCGUGUGUGAAGAAGGCCUGCGGGUUGUAAAGCACUUUCGGUUGGGAGGACUGCUUCUAGCACUAAUAUUGUUGGAAGUUGACGUUACCUUCAGAAGAAGCACCGGCUAACUCCGUGCCAGCAGCCGCGGUAAUACGGAGGGUGCAAGCGUUAAUCGGAAUUACUGGGCGUAAAGCGCGCGUAGGCGGCUAGAUCAGUCGGGUGUGAAAGCCCCGGGCUUAACCUGGGAACUGCAUCCGAUACUGGCUAGCUUGAGUACAGGAGAGGAGAGUGGAAUUCCACAUGUAGCGGUGAAAUGCGUAGAUAUGUGGAGGAACACCAAUGGCGAAGGCAGCUCUCUGGCCUGAUACUGACGCUGAGGUGCGAAGGCGUGGGGAGCAAACAGGAUUAGAUACCCCUGUAGUC
RNAcentral lists this ribosomal RNA (465 nucleotides) under uncultured bacterium. RNAcentral's name for it is "partial 16S ribosomal RNA". It matches the Rfam family "Bacterial small subunit ribosomal RNA", at positions 339 to 795 of the family's 1533-position model. The record is from RNAcentral.